GGGCCCUUAGGCUAGCCUGGAUAGACUGGGAGCUUGCGGAGCUUCAGACCGGGGUUCGAAUCCCCGAGGGCCCG
Non-coding RNA from Candidatus Micrarchaeota archaeon CG1_02_55_22, 74 nucleotides. NCBI's taxonomy places the organism in Archaea, Nanobdellati, Microcaldota. The record is from Rfam.